UUAGUACUCCCUCCGUCCGGAAAUACUUGUUCUAGAGAUGAAUGUAUCUAGACUUAUUUUAGUUAUAGAUACAUCCAUUAUAUCCAUUUCUAGGACAAGUAUUUCCGGACGGAGGAAGUACUUC
RNAcentral lists this microRNA precursor (124 nucleotides) under Hordeum vulgare. RNAcentral's name for it is "microRNA MIR1122". It matches the Rfam family "MIR1120/MIR1122 microRNA precursor family". The record is from RNAcentral. Lineage: Eukaryota; Viridiplantae; Streptophyta; Magnoliopsida; Poales; Poaceae.